GGAUGUGAGGGCAAUCAGGAUGCAGCCCCUGUCACCCCAUGGAUUGCCAGGGUUGAUCCAGCUGAUCUGACUGGCAAGGUGGGCAUCCCCUUCCUCCCUCACCACUCUGUGUGCAUCCCUGAAUGCUUGGUUAGAGAGGACAGCCACCCCAGUGCAGGAGGACCAUUCAUUGGUCUGGGUAUAGGAGGAGCUACACUCCCCCACUAGAACCCCCAAAGAAGCUCUCAAGUUCCAAUAACACCAUUAUUCAGUUAGUGCUACAUCAGAAAAAGAUUUGCUCCUAAUCAAAGACAAAUUGUUAACAUCUAUAGUCACAUAUUU
Molecule: small nuclear RNA, 321 nt
Filed under: Octodon degus (degu)
Lineage: Eukaryota; Metazoa; Chordata; Mammalia; Rodentia; Octodontidae
Description: 7SK RNA (ENSODEG00000023024.1)
Rfam family: 7SK RNA
About the family: 7SK was discovered as an abundant small nuclear RNA in the mid-70s but a possible function has only recently been suggested. Two independent studies have found that 7SK RNA binds the CDK9/cyclin T complex (known as elongation factor P-TEFb).
Source: Rfam by way of RNAcentral